GACUCUUAGAGAUGGAUCACUCGGCUCCUGCAUUGGUGAAGAGUGCAGCUAGCUGUGAGAAUUAAUGUGAAUUGCAGGACACUGAUCCUCAACACUUGGAACGCACUUGCGACACAGGGUUCCUCCAGGGUCUAUGCCUGCCUGAGCAUAG
Molecule: ribosomal RNA, 151 nt
Organism: Cricetulus griseus (Chinese hamster)
Lineage: Eukaryota; Metazoa; Chordata; Mammalia; Rodentia; Cricetidae
Rfam family: 5.8S ribosomal RNA
About the family: 5.8S ribosomal RNA (5.8S rRNA) is a component of the large subunit of the eukaryotic ribosome. It is transcribed by RNA polymerase I as part of the 45S precursor that also contains 18S and 28S rRNA.
Source: Ensembl